GGGUUUUGCAAUCCUCUUUUCCUUUUAUCUAUAGUGAAUGUAGCAUUUUUCAAAAGCUGUUCUUUUAUUGUUUUUCGCUUUUCUCUUUCUUUCUUUUCAUGUUGUUGUUGUUUUUCUUUCUUUUUUUUCUUUUUCUCUUCCUUUUUUUUUCUUCUUUUUUUUUCUUUUUUUUUUCUUUUUCUUUUAUACGACAUUCACUUACUAUUCACGUACUGCAAAGCUACCCCAAACUUAAAGGUUGCUAUUCCAAUAGCAACCCCAAACUUAGAUAGAAACGUAGAGAUGAAAUCAAUU
This 294-nucleotide long non-coding RNA is filed under the name Lathyrus oleraceus (garden pea). RNAcentral's name for it is "Pisum sativum (pea) long non-coding RNA (PSAT_LNC016260)". The record is from RNAcentral. Lineage: Eukaryota; Viridiplantae; Streptophyta; Magnoliopsida; Fabales; Fabaceae.